Molecule: long non-coding RNA, 247 nt
Filed under: Elaeis guineensis (African oil palm)
Lineage: Eukaryota; Viridiplantae; Streptophyta; Magnoliopsida; Arecales; Arecaceae
Description: long non-coding RNA (EGUI_LNC001634)
Source: RNAcentral
AUCCUAAAGCUAAGAGUUGGUGGUUUUUCAAUCCAAGAAAAGGCCUUUCCUUCAUCACUGAUCUUCCAUCGUCCAUUUAUGGAUGGAAGAACCAAUUCUUCUUCGUCGCUUCUUCUCUUCUCUAGGGCUUCCCUUCGCACUGGAGUGAUCCAAGGAUCGAUCCCAACAAGAACAGUCGGGUGGAGGUCGAUGAUCGAGAAGACUUCCACCGAUUGAAGGACAUAGUGGUCUGUCGCAGAGAGAGUUG